Molecule: long non-coding RNA, 121 nt
Filed under: Monodelphis domestica (gray short-tailed opossum)
Lineage: Eukaryota; Metazoa; Chordata; Mammalia; Didelphimorphia; Didelphidae
Description: lncRNA (ENSMODG00000029858.2)
Source: RNAcentral
GGUCACCAAGGGCGGAUUCGUGCUAAAAAGCAAGAAAAACGUACACUAAGAUGAUCUGAGAGGCUCAGUCAGAGCCUUUACUUUUUAAAGAACGGAAUGAUUGGAGAUCAGUGGCACUAAU